RNAcentral lists this long non-coding RNA (1123 nucleotides) under Anas platyrhynchos platyrhynchos (common mallard). Its description in RNAcentral is "lncRNA (ENSAPLG00000023249.1)". Lineage: Eukaryota; Metazoa; Chordata; Aves; Anseriformes; Anatidae. The record is from RNAcentral.
GCAUUGGCAAGUAUUACUUCUGAGUUGCUGAAGCACUAAGCUCCAUGGCUUGCAAACAGAAGUGUUUAGUGAUGCUGCUGUCCUUGGCAUUUUCCUGCCUGGCAGUCAUGACAGGGAGUAGUUUCACACUGUGAGGGUUUUCUGAGGGUUGCCUCCGGCCCACAGUACAAGGUUGCCAUGCCUGGGGAAAGAACAUGCACGAUUAUCCUGCCAUUAUUUGAUUAGCCUGCAGUUGUUCUAUGCUGCUGAAGUAUCUUGAAAAGCUGCACAGUAACUCAAGUCACUGAUGCUGUGUCAAGAUAAUAUGGGCUACAUUGAAAAGUUGCUAUCAUUGUGGCUUCAAGCAGCAGUGCUUUUUUUCUGCCAGGUGCAUGUUUGCAAAAUUAAAAAAAAAAAAAUGUUAAGUAAGAGAUGCUGAUCUAAGAAAGAAGGUCAAACCACUUUCAUCCUUUCCUAUUGUCUCCCUUUGUUUCCACAGAAUAUUGGCAUGAUACAACAUUUGUGACGGACUUUCUCCACAAAUAACAAAUAUGUGGCUGCAGAUAUUACGUCUCUUAACCUUGUCUGUUCUUGUACCUGAGAGUCGCCACAACAGAUCAGUUGUUGCAUAGGAACGGCUGCUGACAUCCAACCCAUUUUCUUCACCCUAGUUACACGAUCACUAUCGCCCCAGAAGGGACUUAUCUGGUUCACUUGCUGGCGUAGCCGCUUAAAGAUUGAAGUCAUUAAUGCGUUGUGCCUCUGUCCUCUGCUACGCAUUUGGGGGAAAGGCCCAUCCUUGCUGUGCCAGUCUGGAGUAAAACUGUGCAGAAGAUACAGGCAUGCGGGAAUGAAAAGCCCCUGUGGGAAUGAAAAGCCACUGUAUUCUUAGAAAUGGAUGGUCUCUGGAAGUGGUAUGGCCCCUGUAAUGAAGCAGGACAGACCCAGAAGUGAGCUUCACGGGGGCGUGAAGGCCGCUGGAGGCCCUGCAGCUGCCUUUGGUGCCUUCAGACAGGACCACAGCCAGGCAGAUCCACCAGAAGACUAACAUCCCCAUGUGACUGCUCUCUGAUCCCAGCACUGCCCUUUGGCCGGGAUUUGGGAUUUGCAGAUCUGAAGAGGAAGCAUUAAACCCAGAGACUGC